Molecule: ribosomal RNA, 403 nt
Filed under: Acinetobacter soli
Lineage: Bacteria; Pseudomonadati; Pseudomonadota; Gammaproteobacteria; Moraxellales; Moraxellaceae
Description: bacterial SSU rRNA
Rfam family: Bacterial small subunit ribosomal RNA
Source: RNAcentral
GGUUAAGUCCCGCAACGAGCGCAACCCUUUUCCUUACUUGCCAGCAUUUCGGAUGGGAACUUUAAGGAUACUGCCAGUGACAAACUGGAGGAAGGCGGGGACGACGUCAAGUCAUCAUGGCCCUUACGGCCAGGGCUACACACGUGCUACAAUGGUCGGUACAAAGGGUUGCUACCUAGCGAUAGGAUGCUAAUCUCAAAAAGCCGAUCGUAGUCCGGAUUGGAGUCUGCAACUCGACUCCAUGAAGUCGGAAUCGCUAGUAAUCGCGGAUCAGAAUGCCGCGGUGAAUACGUUCCCGGGCCUUGUACACACCGCCCGUCACACCAUGGGAGUUUGUUGCACCAGAAGUAGCUAGCCUAAAUGCAAAGACAGCGGUUACCUCGAGUUUUUUCCUGAUCUCGGU